ACGAGUUCCAGGGUCAGAUUCACCCUCCAAAACGACAGGGGUGUUCUCACUGAUCCGAUGACAACAGGCACUGCAAGUGGAGACUCCUACCCCGCACUCGCACUCGCACUCGCAGAUGCGCAUUUUCCGCGAGGAUAUGCGGCAAACAUGCAGCGUCUGAAUUUGGAGCCUAGUUUCUUUCAAAAAAAAUAAAGAAUUUGGAGCCGAGGUGGGGAUAAAGGCAGGGAAUAUGUCAUCCAAGGAAGAAACUAGCUGCGGUGUAUCUGCAUACGUGUUCUUGGUCGAGAAAACUAUGCUGCUACUUGCAACGUGGUAGCAUUGGACACUACAAAUUCAUGAAAAAUCAACAAACUGGUGGAAUUUUCUUUUUUCCAGAGUAGCACGAAAAUCAACAAACGUUCUCUUUUGAAGUCAGGAGAAGGAUUCACUAGUGCACAGCUCUGGUGGAGUUUUCUUUUUUCCAGAGUAGCACGAAAAUCAACAAACGUUCUCUUUUUGAAGUCAGGAGAAGGAUUCACUAGUGCACAGCUCUAAUUUUUUUUGAGGAAAUUGCAGAGCUCUAACAAAGUUUAGAUUAGUACGGAGCUCUAUUUUUUUAGGAAAUUGCAGAGCUCCAAUAAAGUUUAGAUUAGUACAUAGCUCUAUUUUUUUUAGGAAAUUGCAGAGCUCUAAUAAAGUUUAGAUUGAGCAACUCCAAGAGUCUAAAAAAAAUCUCCUCCAAAACUAUCUAUUGGGGACUCUACUAAAAAUUUAUUCUCUUAAAAUCAUGUCAUCCCACAAUAAUAAACUUCCCAAUACUUCAAAACUGACCACGUCAGCACCAAGUAGCUUCAAAAUGCGCCGCCCAUGCUCCGGCCGUGCCGCGUCGGCGGCGGCCUCCGCUCGCUGCUGCUUCUGCUCCUCUUCACCGUGCUCCUCUCCGUCGCCACCUUCUCCCUCCACUCCCCCGACCCCCUCGUCGUCAUCGACGCGCCGCCGUGGAAGCCACAGCUAAUUCGCCCAGUACGGCGGGCCAAUCGUGGCCCUACCCGCAGCAACAUCGGGGCGCACUCCGGUCUCAGCAGCAGUAGACCGGGCACGUACCACCCGCCCGGUCCCACCCAUCGAUGCCGCACCCCGCGUGGAAGAAGUGCGGGCACGGUAGCACCCGCAUGAGCUCGUCGCCCCCGGCGGUGUAGUCGAACAGCCAGAUGUCGCAGCGCUUGCCCGCAUUCCCGCCGCCACCUUCACCUGGGCGUACGUCACGAGCGUGUUGGCACCGAGCGCGCGCUCGCUGUCGUCGUGCACCGCGCCGCCGGUAGGCUCGUAGGCGCACGAGGAGGCGGCGGCGGAUCGGAGACGCUCUUCCACUGGAAGAGCAUCCGUUGGGCAGUGCGUCCAUUGGGCAGCAACCGCGAGCGUUUCAGAGCUCUUAUACUACCUGGAGGCGCCACCGCAGCGUCUUGGAGUGAACGCCACUGCGCCGUCGAUGGAAGGGAGGCGGAGGAAUUGAUGGAGACUACGAAGGACCGGAUCGAACCCGCGCGCCGGCGAAGUCCAGUGGCGUCUCGUGGCCGCAACAACUUUUGAAGUACCACACCGUUAUGUCCUCCACCACUACCUCGAGCACGCACCGCCACUCCCCCGACGGUGUCCAUCACCCACACACGUGCACUCCCUUGACGCCGUCAUGCGGCAGAGAGCAAUUGGGCUGCUUGUCACGGAUGUUGAAGCCACAUUGCCGGAGCCGCCCGCUAGUGGACCUGAGGGACCGCACCAUGCGCUCCACGGACCCCUCCGCGAUGGGCGGCUCACAGAGCACUGUGGCGUGACCGCACCGCCGGCUCAGCCAGUAGAAGCACGUGUCGACAUGGAUCCCAGGGGACGCGGUGUUGAGGCAUCGAGACAUGCCCUGGGCGCCGAGCGUGGUCGUGGCUCAUCUCCCGGUCGCGGAGGUGAAAAACGCCACGAGGACGCGCCGGAAGCGGGUGCGGGUGAGGAUCAUGACGGUAAAGGAGACUACGAAACAGUACUAGAGCGAUCCGAGAAAAACGAUUCGAGGUGAUUGUGGAAGAACCAGUAUGCGGGGCGAUGGAGGUGCUUUUAGCGUCCAUGCAUUUUUACGUGGAGGAUGCAGGGUUGUUGGAGGUAAUUUUUUUUUGUUUUUCUCCAAAAUAAGAUUCUGGGGUAAUUUUGAAGGAGCUCCUGUAGUUGCUCUAAGUAUCAACAAGCACAAACCAGAGAACAGGCUUGUUGGGCCUGUUAUCCGAGCGGUUCUCAUAGAAGCAAUGGCCCAAAACAAGAAAAGGCCCAAAGAGGCCCAGGAGUUCUCGGCGGCAGAGCGGAGAAUCGUUCGGUUCUGUCUGCGAGUUCUUUAGUACCACCUCGGCUGCUGAAUGCGGACGCGCCGCAAGCUCCCGCUAUAAGAUGAGCGCCCCGUGCCCCGUUGCUCCAUACUUACCUGGACGGGGUCGACGGGCGAUCAAGAAGGCCCGUGGCCUAGGUCAGUGGCCCGCAUUGCACUUGGCGGGUGCGCUGGCUUACCAUCUCCCCAAGUGGGAGAGUGGACGUCAUAAUUUGUGGUAGAGGGGGUACGCGUUCGCGCGGCCCCCACCAAUUCUAACAAAUCAAAAUGUUGUCCUUAGCCCUCUGGGCUGUCUCUAGAAACAGGGGCGUUGCUGCAAUUUGUGGUAGAGGGAGUAUUUUACUCGUAUUAAAAAAAUAUUAGCAGUUUCUAGUUGUAUGGUUUGAUCUGAAUGGUUGAAAGAAAUAAAGUUGCGUUAUUUUAUUAGCACGUGCAAAGCCACGCGGCCAAGCUGACCCAGCCAUGGCGACCCAUGGCCUUCUCCCCUCGUCACUCUUCGCAUCCACCACCGCCAUUCGCGCCAUCGCAGCGCCAACCCGCACCUGCCACCGCGUACUCUCCUACGGCACCCGCCGCCGCCGCCCCCUGGCCUUCGGCCGCCGCGCGCCGGCGAUGGACGCCCUCCGCGUGACGGGAGCCGCGGAGCCGCUCCUCCGCCCCUCCGUCGGGGGACACCCCAGGCUCCGCGUAUGCCGCUCGACUUAACCCCCAAUCGGCGGCUAAACAUAGCCGUUGCGCGCCCCCUGCUAUUCUGGGGAGGAAGGCGGGGUCUGGUUGGCGGUGAAGGUCUGACGACAUGGAGGUCGAUGUGCAGGUGCGGACCCAUGCGCAGGGCGAGGGCGAUGCCGGGCGUGGCGCCGCCGCGGAGGGGGACGCGGCCUUCUCGUGGGCACCCGUCAUACUCCCGUAAGCUAUCUGUCAGCCACCUCUCGAAUUUUAGCAUUUGGAGAUUAUCUGGAGUGCGGGGUAGGUGUUGAAAUCAGAAAGGAUGCAUUUAUGGUCUGAUUCGACCUUGCACACGUUCUGAUUGAAGCAACCGAUUAAACUGUGAUCCUUCACUGCAUAGACAGUUUAAACUGUGAUGCUUCAACAUGGAGCAGUCAUAGAAUGUAUGAUGAUGCAGAGUAAUCUAGGAUCUGUUUAAUAUUUCUGUACAGACUGAUGCUUGCCAUAGCAAUGCUUCUUGGUGUAGAGUUUCGAGAAUAAACAAAUAAAAUGGGGUAAUCAGGAAGCCUAUCCAGAUUGCAGCCUUGCAGUACUGAUAGAUCACUGUUCGGAACCUAGGUUCUUGUUCCCUGCAUUGGGCGGUCUCCUUUUCGGCUAUGACAUUGGCGCAACCUCUGGAGCAACAAUCUCUGUACAAGUUAGUCCCCGUUUUGGUUUUUUCUGGAAUUUCCUCUAGCUGACAUACAGUCUCACUGCCACUGGGUGUAUUCUUCUUCAGUCUGCUGAUCUCAGUGGCACCACUUGGUUCAACCUGUCAUCUGUGCAACUAGGCCUUGUGGUAAUCCAAAUUUCUGUGAUUCCUAAGCUUUUGUAUCUCCCUUUUCAUAUCAAUUAUCAAGAUCCAAAUGAGUUUCCUUUUCCUUUUAUUCAGGCAAGUGGUUCACUUUAUGGAGCUCUUGGUGGCUCUAUUCUCGCAUACCGCAUUGCAGAUUUUCUAGGUGAACUGAAAAGCUAAACCAAUUUAAUUGUCCUUACCAUACUUGUUUGAUAAGGGGGUGAAUAACUUCUACCAUCUUGAUACAGGAAGGAGAAUAGAGUUGGUCACCGCAGCUGCAUUAUAUAUUCUUGGUGCUUUGGUCACUGGAUUUGCCCCUAAUUUUGUAGGUCUAAUCAUAGGCCGUAUCCUUUAUGGGAUUGGUAUUGGUUUGGUGAGUACCUGCAGGCACAAAUCUUCUUCCUCCCUAAGAUGAUCCCAGGUUACUGUUAUUAAAAAAAAUCUAAUUUACGAAUGCGUAUAAAAGUGAUUUUCUGGGGAUGAUAAGUACAUUCACUCAAGCUGAGUAACCUGACAAAAUUGUUAUAAACUUAUAAUGUCAUGAUGCCUCAUUAUAGUUUUCUGAUAUGCUAAUCAUUUACUGAAGUGUGAAGUAGCAAAACUAAUUGAUGUCACUGUAGCUUGAUGGUCAUGUUCUGAUAUAACUAAUUAUGGAAUAAGUAGAUAUAAAACAUUCCUGCACUUGAUUAUUCUGAUUCCUAUGAUGGGGUAGAACAUAUUCACUGGUACACCGCAAAAUCAAGCUGGUUGUAUUGCUAAGAUAUUUAAUAUAAUUUUCUUCUUUAAUUUCUGGGGUGGUUACAUUGCGUGUAGCACUUUACCCUAGCCUUUUUGACACCAACUUUCAACAUCCAUAAGCAUCAAAAUUUCCAUGGUUCCAUGCUUUCUUAAAAUGGGAUUCGUAGCAAUUGAAGAGAAUUACAGUUGCAAAGGAGCAUAUGAAUAUUUAGCUAGGGGUUUGGGAGAGUUUAUAGACCAAUGCUGUCCUAAAACAUUUGGUGUUAUGCCACUGAACCAUUAUGGUGCUAUGUGCCAGGCAAUGCAUGGUGCCCCACUUUAUAUUGCAGAGACUUCUCCUCCGCAAAUACGUGGAACAUUGAUAUCUUUGAAGGAGCUGUUUAUUGUGUUAGGAAUACUGGUAAUUAUCUAGUCUUCUGUAUAUUAUACUUUAAUAUACCCAUUUCAUGCCUGCUGACCAUUAAAUAUCUUGCGCAGUUCGGAUAUCUUGUAGGAAGUCUUGAAAUUGACAAUGUAGGAGGAUGGCGGUACAUGUUUGGUUUUGGCGCUCCGCUUGCAGCUAUCAUGGCUAUUGGUAUGUGGACUUUACCACCUUCACCAAAAUGGUUACUUCUCAGGGCAGUUCAAGGAAAGGGGUCUAUGGAGGAUAAUAAAAAGAAGGCAAUUCAAGCCCUUAGAACGUUGAGGGGCCGCUCAACAAGUGAAAAGGUUUUAGCAGAUGAUGUUGAAGAUACCAUUGUCUCUAUUAAGGCAGCCUAUGCAGGACAGGAAGGUGAAGGGAAUAUUUGGGAGGUAUUUGAAGGAGCUAGCUUGAAGGCCUUCACCAUUGGAGGAGGUCUUGUUCUGUUUCAGCAGGUAUUUUGUUCUCUUUAACCCAUGUAUUAGCAGGUUAUUCAAGUUAAAGUUCUGGCCAUGCUCUUAUCUUUUAUUUUUUUAAUUUUAUGCCCUUUUUUUAUCUAUUUUCAAAAUACGGAUGAAUGCUACUUCUUUUUGAGUGGUAGCGUAGACAUGCUGGAUUUUUGUUAUAAAGCUAAACUCUUACUUGACAGAUAACAGGCCAGCCAAGUGUUCUAUAUUAUGCAGCUUCGAUACUUCAGGUACCAAUAUUUUGCUUGGAAUUGUUUGGUGGUAUAGUUUUUAUAUAGAAAAUGUAGAAGUAGGAUACUGUUAUCUGCCCUAUACAUUUCUUGAAUUCAUACAACUCAACGUCUCCAUCUCUAAAGUAUGCCUUAUGUAGACUGCUGGGUUCUCAGCUGCAUCAGAUGCUGCCAGAGUGGCAAUUUUGAUUGGGUUGUUCAAGGUAAUGCAGAAGAUCUACUUCAAUACUUGUAUAUUAGCUGUUUCUGAAUCAUUCUGUGUAGGUAAAAAUGUAAGGAUCUUAUGCUUUCUAUUAGUUUUGAGUUUGUGUAACAAUUCUAUUCUUCGCAGUUGCUAAUGACAGGUGUUGCGGUACUGAAAGUUGAUGAUCUUGGAAGGCGCCCAUUAUUGAUAGGAGGUGUUGGUGGAAUUGUGAGUAUUUGUUCCUUCCUGUUAUUUGAUUAAGUUCUACAUAUUACAUGGAAAGCCCCAUACACACACUUGAAUUCAGUUUGGCAAUUCCACUAAACAUGAACACUGACAAUACUAAUAUUUUAGGUAAUGUAUUAGACUACAACUCUACAUUAGAAUAAGAUAAUUGGUAAACGUAGUAACUUUGUGCAUGUUCUGUCAGGUUUGCAUUCCUAUGUUCUAACUAAAUUGCCUUAUGUUAUCUGUAACCUGUAAAUGCAGGCUCUGUCACUCUUCCUUCUUGCAGCUUACUACAAGAUCCUGAACAACUCCCCCUUUGUUGCUGUUGGCGCUUUACUUCUUUAUGUUGGUGCUUACCAGGUUGGUGCGUUAUUCUGCACGGGGAGCCUGACAAGCACAGCAAUAUUUUUUUCAGGAAUCCACAAAAAGCUUAUACAUCCAUGUGUUUCAGGUCUCAUUUGGUCCAAUUAGUUGGCUAAUGGUGUCUGAGAUAUUUCCACUGCGAACAAGAGGGCGUGGGAUCAGCCUUGCGGUACUAACAAAUUUCGGCUCAAAUGCGUUGGUGACAUUCGCGUUUUCACCCUUGCAGGUAUUGCUUCUCAAGUUCUCAUAUUGCUACCUCCUGGCUCCUGACGUGCAAUUUCAUGAUGUUUAGUUUCUGCAAGUGGAGUCCCCAAAUUACAUGAACAACUAAACGUGUCAAUACCUAGUAGUUGCGACCAAUGAAUCCUUUCUCAAUAAAUACUCAUUUUUAUCCUUGUCAUAGAAAAACUGCUGUUCCCUGUUCUAUGGUCCAAAUUCAGCAUCUUAUCAGGUCCAAACUCCAGACUAGUGUUUAUUUUUGUGUGUGUAUUUCAAAACUCCACCCUCUGCCAACUGAUCUCCAACGCUGGGGUUACCGGACUAGUGUAUUUUGGCUAUCUAUUCGAAUACUGAUAUAGCCUUUUUCAUUUUGCACAAAUACGGGAACAAACAAUACGUGCAGUUCUGCCAACAAUUUAUAUUUCUCUUUUCACCACAGGAAUUCCUUGGGCCAGAGAAUAUAUUUUUCCUGUUUGGGGCCAUAGCAGUGCUCUCCCUUGUGUUUGUGAUCCUCAAUGUUCCCGAGACAAAAGGACUGAGCUUGGAGGAGAUUGAAUCUAAGAUCCUGAAGUAAAAUGGCGUGGUCAAGGCUCCACAAACCCCGGUUGUUGGCCAGAAAGAUUAAUGCCGUUUACAACAUGGAUGCUCACUCGUAGGAUCAGAGUGCGUCAGUCUCAGACUUAGUAGCGCAGUUCACGUCUAGAUGUAAAGUUUUUCCUUCUUGUAAUUAAUAUUUCUGGAUAUGCAUUUGUAGCUACCAAGUCAUAACCACGUCCCAAUUGUCCAUUGCAUCUCAUCCCAUAGCAGCAGUAAGUAAUCGACUAAUCGUCGUGUUCUUGUGACUAUGCUGUAUGUGCUGGUGAGCUGCCGCAAUGAGGACGUCCCCAGUUACCCCCACUGUUUAGUUUUUGUUUUCUGGAACUAUUUUACCCCUACUGUCUGCUGGUGUGAAACUAUGCUGCAGAAAUUUGUUUGUACUUGCUCACUGAUGCUUACCUGUUUAGGUAAGCUAUUUUUCUCUGUUUUAUUUCCCGAAAAAAAAGGAAUGCCGAUGGGGGAACGGCGGAUGUCUUGGGAAGUAGUUUGGCGAUGGAGAAAAGCCAGCAUUACUGUCACUACUGCUCACAGAUGGAUGCAUCUGCAACUAGACUUUGUUUAGCAUCAGGACUGGAGUGUCACCGAACCAAACAGACAUCACAAUCAAGGAGCUCAUGAACAGAAAUGUAAAUCUGACCGACACAUUUAAUACUUGCUUAUCCAGCAUUUGAUUACUACUUAUCCUAACGCAUCUGGCCCAUAUUGCGCGUCCUGGUGGGGUUUGGAAUCGUGCAUUAUAUACUCUUGAUUCAGGAAUAAGCACACCACGGCAACUACUCCGUAUUCAGAUUUUUUUAUAACAAAAUGCAUUAGGAAAUUGAUCCGGUAUCCAGUGUGCUAUUUUUCGUAGAAUUUUCAAGAUAUUGAGGUACGCAACGGAAAUAUGAAAACACAUGAAAAAUGACAUGUCCUGUCGUGUCAUCGUGUGUGGUCACUGAGCUGAGCUUUCAUGCGUCUCCAUAUAGCUGACUAAGCUGAGCAGUUAGGUUCUUGCUUAUCAAACACGUAAGAAUGCAAACACUAACUAUAAAGUUAUAUAUUGUUCCAGGCAGGACUGCGAGAAAGGGAGAUUCUUCAUCCAGUUCGGUUGCGAUUCAGAAGUGCGAGUAGUACAUGAUCAACAAGGAGGGAGGGAACACGUCGUGCCGACUUGAUUGCCUCCAUCGUGGUGGCGGCAGCAGCAGCAACCCGACCGACGAGUCAGUCGCCGAGUAUGAAGUGGGAGCGAGACCGACGACGAUGUGAACCUCCCGCCCAGACCACGACAAGCGGGGGAUCCCGGCGACCUCGUCUAGUCUGGGCGUGGCGGCCGGAGGCCAUGGUCAUGCCCUGGCUGUUGCAGCCUGGCCAUGGUCCAGUUGCCAAAGUCUCCCAGGUCCCAGCGCUAUUCUUUCGGUGCUACACGACGUGCACGUUCCCUCGUGACGUGACGUGGACUUGCACACCAACAAAAGUCUCGGGCUCCGCCGUGCCGGGACGACCCUCCCUCUUGCGCGCGCACACGCGCUCCACGUGCAGGCUCCACGGCUUUCUAAUCUUACCAGCCAUGCUCCACCACCAAACAAUUAAUCCUAGUCUAGAUUCCAAAAGCAAACACCCAGUGCCAUGCACCACAGUUGCACAGGUGAUAAAAAGCACUAUGACUUGUCAAGCAAACUCGUGUUACCAGGCUAGCAGCUACCGUUCCAAUCCACCCGUCGCGCGUCAAGACUACUCGUCCUUUUCAUCAAACAGCAAUGCGACGGACGGUGCGAGUGUGACAACACUCUUAGUAUGACUGACGAUUAAGGAUGGCUUGCUUAUUACUCCCUUCACGUCGUUUUGAUUUUUUUAAUUCAUAGAUAUUAUCACUACUAGGAAAAACAGCUCUAGUAUCGGUUGAGAACCCUCCUCUAGUAUCGGUUUCGCAAUCGGUACUGGCAAUUCGGUACUAGAGGGGUAGAGGGGGAUCGUUUAGUACCGGUUGAAAUAACCGGUACUAAAGGGUAUUAAAAAAAUUAAAAAAACAAAAAUCCCCCUCCCCCGCCGCCUGCCCCUCCACCCGAAGCCGCUCAACCGGCCACUCCCCGCCGCCCCGAUGGCCGCCGCCACCGUGCCUCGCCCCACCGCCACUCCUCACCUCAGGCACGAGGUGAAGGGUGAGUGGAGGGGGAGGAGAGGGGAGGCCGGGGAGGGAGGGAGGGGGCUGGUAGCCUGGAGAGGGAGAGGGAGCGGAUGGAGAGAGGAUAUGAGGAUGAGGGAGGUGGAGCGGAGGGAGCUGAGGAUAAGGACGACCACUAAGGGGGCCAGUGCUUGGCGCGCGGACGGAAAACACUUCAGUACCGGGUGGAGCCCCCACCUGGUACUGAAAGGGGGUCACGGAAGGCUCCUCGGGGACUAUCCAUUAGGUUCGGUACUAAACAUUAGUAUCGGGCUAAAAAGUGACCGGUACUAAGCCUUAGGAUGAGAGGUCAUUUUUCUAGUAGUGUAUUAUGUACCUAAACACAUACUAACCUAAAAAUGAUCUACAAUUUGGAACAGAAGGAGUAGUAUUCAGCUAGCAUUGACUAAGCAAGCAAGUUCAAUUCUUUGCUGGGACGAUGGUGUCCUAAUUUUAUUUCGAUUGGUGACGAGGUGAGUUGCCUGAUGUAUCUGGCCCAUAUGGCGUCCUGGUGGGGGGAACGGGAUCGUGCAUCGUGCCAGCCGGGAAUUAAUAGAAGAGGUCACAAACUCACAAUGAUCCCAACCAGGCGUUGGGUUAAUUAGUGGUUCUAUAGGGACUUUGGAAUCCAAAAAAUACUCCUUUUAGAAAGACAAGCAAGGAAUCAAGCGCCGCGCACCUGACCGGGAAUACGGACAGAAUUCUGCCAUUCAGCACUAGUGCUAAUCAAGCGAAGAUUUCUAACGGUGAAAUCUGACUAUCAGUGACGCUGGUGCUCCCAUUUUUCUAAAUUUAUUUUGGAAUUUAACCGUCGCUAUUCUUUCAGUGGUAGACGGCAUGCCUGUUGACAGCGAGACGAUAGUGGUGCCUUAAUUUUUCGAAGGUGCUUAUAGGAGUAAGGUUGCGUGCGUGUAUUCGUAAUGGUGAGUCUGCAUACAUGUACGUGAGUGUCUGCAUGUGAUUUGAGAAAAAAUAGUAGUGUUAAUCAACAAGGUAAUUAACCCGUCGUGCUGACUUGAAUGCGUCGGCAGCUGCCGGUUGAACCUGGCUCGCCGAGUGACUGAGAGUGAGACUGCCAACCUGCCCAACGAACGAGGGACAGACACUCCCCUCUCCCUUACUUCGUUGUCAAGACGUGUGUUUGGUUGCUUGUAUUAUUUGGUUCGUAUAUGGAAUAGUUUAAAAUAAUAAUAAUUUUUUUAUUUGGUUGGGUGAAUUGUACCGACCUAUCUAGGAUGAAGUCAUCCCACUCAAUACAUUAUUCUAUAAAUAAUUAUGAACUAUAUGGUACAAGUAAAUUGAUUGAACCUACGAUCAAAUAUCAUCCAUAUAUGCAUUGCAGUCCUCGGUCCCGGAGUACGCCUGCGACCCGCGAACACACCGUCCGUCACGCCUGUUCAAUCAGCUGUUCACAGUUGCUGCUGCCCAUGGGCCUCACGUGCUUCGAUCUAGAUGCCUAGUGCCCACUUUGAGCAUCUUCCCCAUGAUAGUCUUCUUCUGACCAUCUUUCUUGAACGCAUACAUCACUUGAGCACCGUAAUCCUGUGCUCCAUCUGCGAAGGCCCAUCUAUAUGCAUGUCACCUAGGUGUUAGGGCUUCAAAGAACUGAACUUUGAGAUCGCUUUUGGUGGCUAGGAGCAACUUCACACGCUGACAUCAUGCAUUUCUUUUUGAACUAAAUUAAGGGCCUGUUUCAGCUUAGCUUCUCGGGUCUACUUUGGAAAGCUGAAACAAACAGUCCAGCUGUUGAAAUUGCUUUUGGAAAGCUAGCUUCUGAGGAAAUGAACUGAAAGCUGGAAAGCUAACUGAGAGGAGCUUUUCCUAACUUUUGGUGUGUUGAGAAGAUAAAAAUUUAUUACAAAAGUCAAUAGCAAAAGAUCAGCAAUCAAAAAGUCAAUUUUCACAUAGCUAGCUUUCCAGCCAAAAACUCAGGACGUUCGGCGGGCCUGUCCUCAUUGUUGUUUUUUCUUUUUUGGGAUAAUACGCUUGGUAGCAAUCUUUCUAACUAAAUCUAAGGACACACAGGAUAUGACAUGGACGAUAGGAGAUGAUUAUGAGAAGAAUGUUGUUGGUGCACUACACGGGCAACCACAAUGUGGUAGAAAAGUAGUCCAUAUGUACUUUUAUUUUCCAUUCAGCCACCUAGUAACAUUGUGCAAGUAAUCCAUAUGUAGGAGUACAAAUUAAUUUUCGGUUAUCUAUAGGAAAUGGUAGUGUUAAUGGCAACAACAUGUUUUGGAAGUGGAUAUAUAACACACAAAUUCCGUACCUUUUUGUGUGUUCGAGAGGAUCCGUGUCCCAACUAGUUUAGUCUUGUUUGGCGAUGACACAUGCACCUACAUCCAGGACCUUAGGGUUAGGAUUAGUGGGUUUUCAAUGUUAGAACUUGGGUUUUACCAUUCUCCGAAAACAGAUGCAAGGGAAGAAGGCAAUCUUGGCAGUGGAAUCAACGGUGCAUUGACAUUAGGGCGGAAUGUAGUGAAGCAGCGGCAUGAAGAAGGUAGCUAAGUAUAAUGGUAUUACAAGGGUGAUGGGAGACGACGAUGAGCAGAAUGUUGCGGCUUGCCGAAGCAUAACCUACUAUUGUGGUUGGAGCACCGACAAGUAUGGGCAACCGUACAGCCGUAGAGGAGAGGGGAGGGUGAGCCGAUCAGGGAUGUUAGGUAAUUUUCUCUUAAUGAAAUACGUGCUAGUGAAAAAAAGGACGUUAGGCAAACAGAUGGGAGCAAUGGAAGAAGGAAACGACGUCAAUGUUUGAUCACCUAAAAAUCGUGUGUUUUCAGCAUUAGAAUCACUAUGAGUGAGAAGUAGACAGGUAAAAACCUCAAGUACCAUGCCACUACUUGCACCAGUCGCAGUAUAGUGUCCAAUAAACCCACAAAUGCAGCGUCAAGACCUGUCGUUCCUACCUCUCCGAUCCUAUGAAGCGAGCAGCCAGCCAGCGCCGUUCCCUCUGAUGCCGUCCACUUCCACGUCCCUCCCGUGCUGCCGUGCACGACAAACCCAGGCGCUCGUGCCGGUGUAGCCAUAGCCCCGAUGACUUUGACGACGCGCUGGGAUUGUUGCGGCCGGAAGCUAUAAGCCGAGCACGCCGGCCGAUCGCUGAGAGAUCAACGUGUCUUGUUCCAGCUCCACCAUGGCGUCUGUUCUUGCCGCGGUGGUGCCCGUCCUGCUCGCUCUUCUGGCUCGAAGCGGAUCACCGGCCGCAGCCGGCGCCGCCACCGAGUUCGUUCUCGCCGGCUUCGCGGGUGCGAACUUGACGGCCAGCGGCGCGGCCGUGGUCACCUCCUCCGGCCUCCUUCGGCUCACCAACGAGACCAACGAGGCGUUCGGGCACGGCUUCCACCCCGCACCGCUGCGGUUCAAGGACGCCUCCACGGGCGCGCCGGUCUCCUUCUCCACCACGUUCGUGGUCGCCAUCCUGCCGCGCUACCCGGACGCGCACGGCCACGGGCUCGCUUUCGCGCUGGCGCCGUCGGCGACCGUGUCGGGAGCCGUGGCGGGGAAGAACCUCGGGCUUUUUAACACGUCGAACCACCUCGGGAAUGGGCAGAGCGAGGUCGUCGCUGUCGAGCUCGACACGGCGAUGGACGAGGAGUUCGCCGACAUCAACGACAACCACGUCGGCGUCGACGUCAACAGCCUAAAGUCCAAUUGCUCGAAGCCAGCGGGCUACGUCGCCGACGCCGGCACCGUCAAGCUCAACGUCAGCUUGGUCUGCGGGGACCCCCUGCAGGUGUGGAUCGAGUACGACGGCGCGAGCACGCGCCUCGAGGUGACCGUGUCACCGGCCGGCGUGCCCAGGCCGGCCGUCCCGCUUGUGUCUUGCGCCGUCAACCUCUCGUCGGUGGUGGCCGACGGCACGUACGUCGGGUUCUCGGCCGCGAACGGCGCUGCCUCGAGCUCGCACUACGUUCUCGGCUGGAGCUUUCGCCUCGGCGGCGGCCGCGCGCCGGACCUCGACCUGUCAAAGCUCCCGCGGGUCCCGUCGUCUAGGCCCAAGAAGACCAUGCAUCCGCAACUGGUCCUGGCGCUGAUCCUGCUUGCCGUCGUGGCGCUCCUCGUGGUGUCAGCGGGCGUCACGCUGUUCGUCGUCUGGCGCCGGCGGUUCACCGAGGUGGAGGAAGAUUGGGAGUUGGAGUACGGACCUCACCGGAUCAGCUACAAAGACCUGCACGCGGCGACCAGAGGCUUCCGCGACGUCAUCGGCGCCGGCGGCUUCGGCCGCGUGUACCAUGGCGUGCUCCGGCGGUCGGGCACGGAGGUCGCCGUCAAGAAGGUGGCCCAUGACUCGCGGCAGGGCUUGCGCGAGUUCGUCUCGGAGAUCGCGAGCAUGAGCCGGCUGCGCCACCGCAACCUGGUCCAGCUCCUCGGCUACUGCCGGCGACGGGGAGAGCUCAUACUCGUCUACGACUACAUGGUCAACGGCAGCCUCGACAAGCACCUAUUCGACGCUGAAAACAGGCCGGCGCUGAGCUGGGAGCGGCGCGCCAAGAUCAUCCGCGACGUUGCCGCCGGGUUGCUGUACCUGCACGAGGAGUGGGAGCAGGUGGUGGUGCACCGCGACAUCAAGGCCAGCAACGUCCUCCUCGACACCGACAUGAACGGCAAGCUCAGCGACUUCGGCCUGGCGCGGCUCUACGACCACGGCAGCGAUUCGCAGACGACGCACGUCAUCGGGACGCUCGGGUACCUCGCGCCGGAGAUGAUCAAGACCGGCAAGGCCACCCCGAGCGCCGACGUGUUCGCGUUCGGCGCCUUCCUGCUCGAGGUGGCCUGCGGCCGGAGGCCCGUGGAGUCACUCAGCAACAACAAUGCGGACCCGGCGGGGCUCGUCGACAACGUCCUCGAGUGCUGGAAGACCGGGAGGAUCAGAGACGCCAGGGACCCGAGGAUCGGCAAGUGCGACGAGGACGACCUCGAGCUGGUGCUCAAGCUCGGGUUGCUAUGCUCGCACCCUGAUCCCCGGUGCCGGCCGAGCAUGAGGCAGGUGGUGCAGGUACUGGAAGGCGCCGCGCCGGUGCCGGAGACGCCGCCGGAAGAUCUAGGCAGCAGCGGCAGGACCUUCGGGUACUACGAGACGUUCGAUGAGUUCCUCAACAUGUUCCCGACGACGAUCGAGGUGGCGACCGUCACGCCGCGCCUUGGUCGCACUCCAGCGCCGAACACCAGCACCUGAUCUCCGGCGGAGUUCUGGCUCUGCCAUCAGCUCUCGUCAAUAAAUUACAAAAUUCUCUUGUAACUAAAUUCAAAUUUCUCUUACCACUAAAUUGCUACAAAAUCGCUGUGAUGUGCUUAGGAUGGUUCAAAUUGGAAAGCAAACAGUUACAAGAUUAGGUGUUGUAAUAAUCUUGUCUAAAGAAGUGAACAUAGGUUGUCAGACAGUUUUAGGAUGAUCAAAGAGUGGUUUUGCUUUCAUAAGUCCUAACACCUAAUUAACCUAAUCGUUGAGGUUUUGUACGUGUAAUUUUUUUUCUGCAAGUGAGUAAUCGUUGAAGUUUUGUAUGUGUAAUCUUUUUUGUAAGUGACCAUAUGAGAUACUAUAAUCUCCGAAAUGUUUUUCUACAUAUUCAUCAUUUUAGAUUUAUAUAUUUUUGAGAUAACUCAUCUUGUAAGUGAUAAGAACUAAAGAUCAUGUUACCACUCAACCAUCAAAAUCACAAAUAAUAAUCUUUUUUUUCCUUAUAUCCUCCCUUCGUUGACCGCAACAUUGACCUACGCAUCAUAGAACAAGCAAACCGGUUCAUGCAACCCAAAAUCCCCACAUUUAAAACUCUGUACCUGUAAUGCAGUGUGCCGUUGCAUCCUCCUCAGUCCCACACGACACGAGCAAGGCAUCAGCCAUCACUCCCGUUUGUCACAAACACAGCCAAAUCCGAUCGAUGUGAACGGCAUCGACCGUUCACCCAGCUAUUCUCUGUCGUUCAUACCUGGUCGCUCGGUUCCCCAGCGAAAUAACAUAGGCAGACCCCCCGCACAUAGCUCUGGCCCAGAGAAUGACUUGAGAUCCUGGCAUCUCUCGAGCGAGCAACUCAGACAUUCGAGUGAUUGACCAUCGAGCCAACACGUGGGGUGGUGCCGACCUGAACGCAUCCAUCAUCGAGUGCCUCUGCCUGCCCAACGCCAACGAACGCCGGCCCGGACCUCGCUCGACCUCGUCGUCAACAAGGCCGGCCGGUCCCGGAGUACGGCGGCCAUACAUCCGGCCUGUGGAAUGCUAAUAACAUGGGAUGGACCUGGCUGGAGAUAUCCAGCAAUGACCACACGGUGUGCAUCGUCCCAAGCUGCAGAGUCAGUCAGUCGUCGUCUUCUAUCACAGCAAACGCAGUACAGUAUUUAAGUAGUGACAGCUACCUGUUCUUGGGUCCCUCUCUGAAUGUUGUACAUGUAUCCGCUGAAUCUGCAUGCAAAUACAGACGGCAGAAGUAGGGACUGAUGACUUGAGGUCUAGACGUCUAAUUAAGCUGAUGUCGACCUCUGGGUACGUAUGCUAUUUACCAAUUUACCACCAUGUUGUUGAUCAAGAUCAGAUAACCACGGUGCUUGUUGCCAGCCUAGAAGGUGCGGUGUGAUGGACAGAGACGGCGGUCACUGCUUGCGAGUGUGGUGCAUGCUUUUGCAUUGCCUGGCCGUUCGUCUGCAAUCGAUAUGAUGUUGUUCAGCUGCCGCGUAAGCUAGGCAAGUCGAUCCACAACUUGGCCGGCAAUUUGCAGUUUCCUUGGCUACGUUAUGCCUCUGGUUAGUACAGUACUAGCUCCAAACUCCCAACUGAAUGCAUGCGAAUGCAAACCACACAGAAGUCUCGAGCUGAAGGGGCCAUUAGCUGGGUAUGUGACAGGGAAUGCGAAUUUGACUUUUGGAAUGCAUGUCGUCGUUUUCCACUGUGAGAAUGACACCUCUACUUGUGUCAAAUUCAGCAAAAACCUAAAGAAUGAUUUGCAAAUUUUAGAUCAAAAAUUUUUACGUCAUAUAUGAAUUGGAGUUUUGCAAAUUCAAAGGUAUCUUAAAGUGAGACACUACACGGCAAAAGCAAUGUGGUGCAGUGCUCCAUAUGAAUAUGCAACACACAUAUAUAUCCUCACUGACAUUUUGCGGAGCUGAAUUUCCAGCAUCUAAAACAAAACAAAAAGGAAUGGGAAAUCUAUAUGUGACUUGAGUAUUCCCUUCAAUAAUUUCUUUUCCGAUUUCAGCUACAUGCACAUAUGACAUCCCUGCUUCAUGUCCGGCAAGAUCAGGGUUCCAGAUUUGGGGAAUUGGAGGCUGCAUUAGAGGAUUUAGAGGGGAGGGAUGUGAAUGAAGGUUAGCCUAGCAGUGGAGGGCCACGGUGGCCACAACGGUGAAGUAGCAUGUGACGGAGGAUGGGCACUGCUGGGGAUCGCCAAAGAACUAAACACCCUCGAGCGCCAUUCGUGGGCAUAGUUUUCCAAAUGGGCCGCCCGGCCCUAGCCCGGCACUAACCCAUCCUGGCCCAGCACUAAUAGGCCCGAAGGGUUUUCGUGCCGGGCUGGGCUGGCACUGCGUGCCGAGGAGGCAGCCCAGGCCCGGCCCGACGACCUUUUUAUCGGGCUGGGCCAGCCCACAACACGACGGGCCAUGCCGUGCUAGUGCCCGGCCCGGCACUAGCAGCAGCGGCCGGCUCCAGUUGCCCUCGGAGGGCGGCGACGGUCGGCGGCCGGCCCCCCGCGUCGGCCCCUGGCGGCGGCGGCGGCGGCGGCUGGCCCCCCGCGUCGACCUCGGGCAGCUGCGGCGGCCGGCCCCCCGCGGCAGCCUCGGGCGACGGCGGCUGGCCCCUUGCGGUGGGCAUGGCGACCACCGUCGCCAAGCAAGCAGGAAGGUGGGACUGUGGGAGGACCCUGGGAGGCGGACGGGUGGAUGGUCAAAUGGGGGGAAAUUGAAAGUAUAAGUAGGGUUCUGCAUUUAUAUGGUAGUUAGAUCGGGCCACAUCGGGCCGGUCCAAAAAUCAUGCCAGGCUCAUGCUGGCCCAGCGUGCCGGGGAGGCGGCCCAGGCCCGGCACUAUCAUCGUGCCGGGCCAGCCCUGGCACUAUUCACUUCGUGCCGGGCCCGUGCUCGUGCCGUGCUUUUUAGUGUUGGGCCUCGAGCCACCCAACGGGCCUGGCCCAUUUGGAAAUCUUUGUUCGUGGGUAAAAACUCUCUAACCUCGCAAGUUCUUGGUCAAGGAAUAAAACUUGGUUAACCUCGCAAGUUCUUAUGGAAACUAUUCUGGUAGUAAAACUCAUACCCUCGCAUCUUCUUUGUUACUGGAGGGACUCGAAGCUGGCAACUGGUAACUAAUAACUAAACUCCAACUGAGCUAACCCUCGAGUGUUCGGAAUCAGUCCUGAACACCGAGCUUUCAUCUUUUUUACUCUUUACUCAGGAACGGAACCUGAAGGGAGAUUCCGUGAGGUUACAAGAUUCUCAGAGCAACACAACGAACCAGGCGUCACGAGGUUGGACAACUAUCUCAAGCCAAGGGUGGAGACACGAGGCUGGAAGAUCGAUCUGGUGAAGGUGAAGUCCCGAGGUUGGAAGGACGGAGGCGUGAGAAACGUGACCAUAUUGAGGAAUUCAAUUUAUACACGUUACCCCAUGACCUUUAUGUAUGGCAUAUCCUAGAAAUGUAGUGGUUGAGGAAGGACAUUUCGAAAUGUAAAGUGGCUCAUGUGUCACUAUAAUAGGGGAGCUCUACUCCAUUGUAAAGGAAAAUCGAUUGUUUUUUAGAACUUCCAAGUGUUAUCUCUUUUUAUUCACGAAUUUGUUUGGUAUCGAAUUUUUCACGAAUUUGUUUGGUAUCGAAUUUUCUUUGAGACCAACAGGCAAUGAGGAGGUUAGGGUGGGCGCAACUCAUUUCAAUGGUGUAUGGUAGCAUAGUGAUGACAGAUCGAUCCGGUGGUGGGAUCCACCUGAAAUGAGAGAAGAAGGGCGGUAAGGGGCACCACUCAACGCAAGAGGAAGCUCCUCGGUGAGCACAUCGGGAGGAAGAAGGAACUACAAGAAGAAGCCCAAGGAAGAAGAUCUAGUAACUGUUGGAUUUCAAUCCAUGAACAUUCAGAUGUAUGGAAAAGAAAAGAAAAGAAAAGAAAAGAAGCCCGUAAGCAGUAUAGCUGGCCUAAAAAGAGAUACCAUGCAUGGCUUCAAGGAUGGGUCCGGGAUGUGCACUGCUGGCGCAGAACCCAAACACCAAAACAAGCACACACUUGCCAAACGUCACUCUUCAACACUUGUCGUACAGUAGAUUUCUACCUCUCCCAUCCUUGUCGUGCUGUGAAGAUAUCACCCGCGAGCAGCCAAUCCGAGCGCUCCCCGCUCCCAUCCUGGCCCCUCCUCCGAUGCCGUCCACUUCCACGUCCCUCUCGCCCGGCACGGCGCCGGACCACCAGCUGAUCGAGGCAUCGGCGACGACGCGACCAACCCCUACCCGGGCACCAGUAACCGGGACAUGCCUUUAACACGCUGGGAUCCCACUUCGACAGAAAGAUGUAAGCAAAGCAAACGACGCCUCGUUUCGUUCCAUAUCAUGGAGGCGGCCAUUCUUGCCGUGCUGGUGGCCGUCCUGCUCCUCCUCGCCCGAGGCGGAUCGGCGGCGGCGGGGGCCGGCGCAGCCACCGAGUUCGUGUUCACCGCCGGCUUCGCGCGCCAGAACGUGACGACCAGCGGCGCGGCCGUGGUCACGGCCUCCGGCCUCCUGCAGCUCACCAACGAGACGAACGAGGUGUUCGGGCACGGCUUCUACUCGGCGCCGCUGCGCUUCAAGGACGCCUCCACGGGCGCGCCGCUCUCCUUCUCCACCACCUUCGUGUUCGCCAUCGUGCCGCGGUACCCGGACGCGCACGGCCACGGGAUCGCCUUCGCGCUCGCGCCGUCGCCGGCCGUGGCGGGAGCCGUGGCGGGGAAGAACCUCGGCCUGUUCAACACGUCGGAUAACACGGGGCAGGGGAGGAGCGGGAUCGUCGCCGUCGAGCUCGACACGGCGCGGGACGAUGAGUUCAGGGACAUCGACAAGAACCACGUCGGCAUCGACGUCAACAGCUUGGAGUCCGUGAACUCAACGCCGGCGGCGUACGUCGAUGUCGGCACCGGCAGGCUCGUCAACUUCAGCCUGGUCAGCGGAAACCUCCAGCAGGUGUGGGUCGAGUACGACGGCGCGAGCAUGCGCAUGGAGGUGACGGUGUCGCCGGCCGGCAUGCCCAGGCCGGCUGUCCCGCUCGUGUCGUACACCGUCAACCUCUCGUCGGCCGUGGCCGACGACACUUACGUCGGGUUCUCGGGAGCGAACGGUGCGGCCUCAAGCUCUCACUACGUUCUUGGCUGGAGUUUCCGCCUCGGCGGCGGCCGCGCGCCGGACCUCGACCUCUCCAAACUCCCGCCGCUCCCACCUUCAAGAUCCAAGAAGAUGAUGCCGCUGCUACUGAUCCUCACACUGUUCCUAGUUGCCGUCUUGGUACUACUCCUAGUGUCGGGGGCAGUCGUGGUGCUCGUCAGAAGGCGCCGCCGGAUCGCCGAGGAGGAGGAGGACUGGGAGAUCGAGUACGGCCCUCACCGGAUCCGCUACAAGGACCUGCACGCGGCGACCAGGGGCUUCCGCGACAUCAUCGGCGCCGGCGGCUUCGGCACCGUGUACCACGGCGUGCUCCGGCGGUCGGGCGCCGAGGUCGCCGUCAAGAAGGUGGCCCACGACUCGCGGCAGGGGCUGCGCGAGUUCGUCUCGGAGAUCGCGAGCAUGAGCCGGCUGCGCCACCGCAACCUGGUGCAGCUCCUCGGCUACUGCCGGCGACGGGGCGAGCUGAUGCUCGUCUACGACUACAUGGUCAACGGCAGCCUCGACAAGCACCUGUUCGACGCCGGCAAGCCGGCGGCGCUGAGCUGGGAACGGCGCGCCAAGAUCGUCCGCGACGUCGCCGCCGGGCUGCUGUACCUGCACGAGGGGUGGGAGCAGGUGGUGGUGCACCGCGACAUCAAGUCCGCCAACGUGCUCCUCGACGCCGACAUGAACGGCAGGCUCAGCGACUUCGGCCUGGCGCGGCUGUACGACCACGGCAGCAACCCGCAGACGACGCACGUCAUCGGGACGCUCGGGUACCUCGCGCCGGAGAUGAGCAAGACGGGCAAGGCCACCACGAGCACCGACGUGUUCGCGUUCGGCGCCUUCCUGCUCGAAGUGGCCUGCGGCCGGAGGCCCAUGGAGCGCAACGACGACCUCGACUCGCCGGGGCUCGUCGACCUCGUCCUCGAGCACUGGAAGGCCGGGAGGAUCAUGGACGCCAGGGACCCAAAGAUCGGCGAGGGCGACGAGGCCGAUGUCGAGCUGGUGCUCAAGCUCGGGCUGCUCUGCUCGCACCCGGACCCCCGGUGCCGGCCGAGCAUGAGGCAGGUGGUGCAGAUACUGGAAGGCGCUGCGCCGGUGCCAGAGACGCCGCCGAAGGAUCUAGAAAACAAUAACAGGUUGUUCUAUGGAUACAUCGAGUCGUUCGACGAGUUCGCCACCGUGUUCCCGACGUCCGGGACCACCACCGUCACGACACAGCCGUCUUCUUCGCACUCCAACGACGAGCAGCAGGAGGUGAUCUCCGGCUGAGUGGUGACAUCUUCUCUCUUCACCAAACCACCAAAAAGUUCAGUCAUGUGCCUACUUACGGUGGUUGGAACUUGUAAAGGAAAGCAAGUAGUCAUAGAUUUAGAGUCAAAGAGGUGUUUGAUCUUUUUCGAAGUGAACAUAGGAUAUCGUCAGCCAUUUGUAGGGAUGACAAAAACAAUAAAGUUUGAUGUAUCAAGUCCCAACUGCCGAGGCCGGCUAUACCAAUCAGGUUAAUUAUCAUUUUUGGCUGGUGCAUUUCCAGAAGAAAAGACUCUGCAAAUGACAAGUGCAUGAGAACGGGUGGUGGACCACAAUAACCUUAUAUGGAUUGUAGGUGAAACAGUGAAUCUCUUCAAAUUAACAGUUAAAUAAACCUCAAAAGAAGUAAUGAUAUGGAAACAUCAUUUUUGUGAAGAAUCAGAACCCAGGUGUCGCUUUCGCUGGGCAUCAACUUGCUUACAUGGGAAGAAGAUUGUGGCAUGUGAACCAUAAACUUUAUAAUAGAAGUAUUGAGUUUAGAACAGUGGUCAGUGGACUUGGGAAAGAUACGGGAAGGUAUCUGAAAUCUAAAAUAUCUGAACAACCGAAAUAGACAGCACGUACAAGUGACAUGAGGAAGGUCCUAAUUGGAAAAUUACGACAGGCAAUGCCAGCUUCUAUCCAUAUAACAUUAGCUUACAGGUUAGCUGACUAGUUCAUUCAUCUAUAGCCUCAGCCACAAGCAGAAUCAUCAUCAUCUUCCUGGAUGCCCUGUGCAGCACCUUGGAUCAUUUCAUCAUCAACUCCUGGAAGGAAGUUUAGAACGUCUGAUAUUUAGCUUUUGUCAUUACCUGCAGAUAAAGUCUACAAAAGGAAAUACAUGUGGAUGUACCUUCAAUGAAGGAUUCAAAUUCAUCUUCAUUUGGUUCCCUUGGUGCGAUUCGGCUGACUGAUUGAUUAAUCUCCAUCCAGUUUGGUUGCUCAACUGGGCCAGAGAACAGUGCAGGUGUAUCCACAACCCAGUCAUCAACUAUGUCUACGUAGUCCACUGAGACAGGAUCAAAUGCUUUCACCUUGCGCUGUUGUCUAUGAACAAUUAUUAAUAAGAUCGGUCAAUCAAACCAUGUUUUUUUAGCAACACAUUCAAAUUUAACUCAUAAUGGCAAGACUCUAUACAAAAAGAUGAUUCCAUUACCUUUGCUGCAGCCGUAGGUUGUAUUGUACAAAGGUGAGAUCAUGCAUUCGCUGACGCUCAAAACUAUUCAAUCUUUCAUCAUGAACUUGCUCAAAAGGAAUGUGCGCCCGAUCACAUCCUCUAGCGCUGCAGGUUUGACUAAGAAUACGGACCGCUAGACGUGUUAAAUUUGGGCAAGCUCCUCCAUAUGUAUACCACCAUUCAGCUGUAAGAUAAAAUAACAAUAGUAAAGGCAAAAUGUUAAAUAUCACUUAACAAACUUUACAUUGUGACAACAUCAUUAAAGGGAAGCACAAUUUAACUAGGUUCCAAAUAUUGAAAGAAGGCUAACAAUGUAAAGUUUGUCAGAAAAGUCUCAUUUGGUUAGAUAAAACAAAAUAACCCUACAGAUGUAACUCAAGUUUGCAUGACAAAAAAAAACAUAAUACUAGCGUGUAUUACUAGUUAACGAGAAAUUCUUAAAUACUAACCAGGAGGUAAAGUUCGUCUGGAUCGGAUAGCCAUCUGCCUACGAAAAUCCCCUGCUGUCUCACUCCGGUACAUGUUGAGCUCUCGCUGGAUUUUAUCUUGGAUUUUCACAUCAGAAACCAGCCUUUCUAUGCAAUCUAGCAUUCCUGAGAAGAUUCCAUUUGAUACAUCACCUCGAAUUCCAUCAAAAAAUAGUGGAUUCAGGAAGAAACCAGCUGAAUGAAGUGGCCGUGGUGUUUGGUUGUCCCAUCUCCAGUCGAUGAUAUUCCAAUAAGCCAUGUAGUCGUUCUUACUCACUAGCUCUUUCUUGAUUGCUGCUUUGGCCUGGUACAAUCCAGCAUAAAUGUACCCCAUAGCAGGCCUCUUUGUACUACCAACUAGCUUAAGGAGAUGCACAAGUGGCUCGGUGAUGUGAACAACAGCAGCACAAGAGGACCAAAACUGCAAACUAUUAACAAGAUUGCUUACUUCGAUCCCUCCUUUCUUUGGCAGCAAAAAGUGUAUCCAUUCAUCCGAGUUGACCAUGGCUUGCAAAGCCUCCUUCAGACCGUACAUGUUCUUCAGUGUGACAAAGUUCAUAGAAGCGCGAGUCUCUGCAGGAACUAGCAGAUCCUUCCCAUGCAGAUACUUCUUCAUUAGAUUCAAUGCAAAUGCGCUGUUGUAGAAAAAUCCUGUGAGGGCCUUUGCAUUACUUAUUAUCUCACUGAUUGCCCCUACCUUACUGAAAUCUUCAAGCAUGCCAUCGAUGCACUGGAAAGAGCAUGGAGACCAGAACAAUGUUGGAAAUGUUUCACCUAGCUUUUUUCCUGCAGCUGCAUGGAUCUCAGAGUUGUUUGUGAUUACUUGGACAACUUUUUUCUCGCCAACUUCCUCGACAACACUUUUCAGUAACUCAUACAGUGCAUCUGAAGAUGCGACAAUGCUGGUUGCAUCCACCGAUUUGAGGAACAUAGUGCCUUCUGGGCAAUACACUGAAAAGUUUAUCAAGGUUCUGCCUUUAUCAGUGAUCCACUCAUCAGCCAACACCGAGCAGCCAGUCCUUGUCCAUGACCCCUUGAAGAACUCCAACCGAGACGUCGCAUCAUCCAGUGACUUCUUAAGAAUGUGACCACGAAAGUCAUGGUAUGAGAGCGCCUCCGGCCUCCCUCCUGCCGAUGCAAUAGCCUCAAGCAUGGGCUGGAAGUAGACUGAAUUCACUGCUUCCAAUGGCACACCAACAUCAUACAAGAACCUCCCAACUGCCACAGAAACCUGCUCCUUGUCCAAACCAGCAUGUCCGAAAUGUCCUGAUGAUGGUGUAACUGCGUCGACUGCCAUCACAACCUGAUGAAGAGGAUUGGUCUGAGGAGUAGACGGAACAUGCUGCUGCAGAGUCGGGGGAGUAAGUGGUGGAGUGGAGGCGUUACUCAACAUCUUCCUCUUCUUCUUACUGCUGACACUCCCCCUCAUGGUCUCCGGAAGCGGAGGCCUCUGUUCGUCGAGCGGCACGGGUUCGAAGUCCAGCACCUCGUUGAGCGGGAUCAUGUGGAUGGGGCUGUCGGUGGCCCCACCGCUCGCGGCGGAGGCGGGCGACGCGUCGGUGGGGGCGAAUCGCCUCAUGUCGCCGGGCGGGAGUGCGUUGGCUAGCUUGCGCUGCAUCUUCUUGGCGGCGACAGCGUCGAGGCUGCGCAUCAUGGUGUCCUGGACGUCGCGGGGCACCUUGGGGCAGCAGCAGGCGUUCCCGGGGCGGCGGGCCAGGUGCUCCUUGAAGCGGUGGAUGCCGCCGCCGAGGAAGUGCUUGCCGCAGUAGGCGCACUUGAGGCGCACCCGGCCCUCGGCGCGCACCAUGAGGCAGUGCUUCCACGCCGGGUCGUGCUUCUGCGCGCCGAUCUGCACCACCUCCUCCUCCUCCGCCCCCGCCCCGGCCGCCGCCGCGGCGUCAUCCCCCUCCUGCCUCUCCAUCCGGGCGCGAGCACUGCAUCAGCCAUCACCACCGGGCGUCACGAACGGCGCAAUUGGAUUCGAACGCAAUUCAUCGAGAGUCCUGCUGCUAAUCCCCCAAUUAGCCGAUGGCGCGCGCGCGAAAUGAACCUGUGCGGCCCCGCGCGCGCGAACCGAGCGAACCAGGAGAACCUGAAAGGAGUGGGGGAAAGGGUGGGAGGAGCGGGAUCGAGAGAGAAGAGAGAACUCACCCGGGUUUUUGGGAGGCGAAACGGCCGGGCUCCCCCAAAUCGGCGUCCGCCGGGGCGGGGAGGAAGAAAACCAGUGAGGUGGAGGUGAUUGGGGAUGGUGAGCGACGGGCGAGACGUGGGUGAGGAGCGAGCCGGCCGGGUGGGGUUGGUUGGUUGACCUGGCCGAGAGGGAGGGGGAGAGGGAUCGGGCACCGGCCCAGCCGGUUCUCGCGUGGGUUGGUUCGGGUCAGGUCACAUCAGGUUUGGGCUGAUCGGGGCGAAUGUGCCGGACCGUGGGCCGGCCUGGUUGGUUUGGCCGGAGGAGAGUGCAAAGCACUCGUUGCCCCACCCGUCAAACCGGGCAUCACCGGCCGCGGCGCCGGCCCGGAGAUGCUCGUUUCCCGACUCCCGAGGCACUAGCUGUCGCGCAAUGGGUACGGUGCAAGCUGCAGGGGGCAGAUGGGGACAAGUAAACACCUCACUCCACUCCAUCUCAGUUCUCAGCUGAUGGCAAAGAUGAACUGAGAGCUGAUGGCGAAGAUGAACUGAGAACUGUAGCUAGAUUGAGAGCUGGGGAAAGAGGUCGGGGAGGGGGGAUUUCGUUCCGAAGGCCUUGCUACGAGCUGAUCUUACCAUCACCAUUCAGCAGCACCGAGGUAUGGUUCUCUCGGGUCACAAUGUUUGCAUAUCUUUCUGCAGAUCGAGCUAGGUCUAUAUGUUGGGGAAAAUAAUUAGUUUUCUCUUCCCUUUUUGGCUGGGGAAUGUCAGUGAAAAUCGCAUGGGAAACUUCCGUGAGAUUGUGCCCGUGCGUGUGAGAUUUCGGAAAUAUGUAGGACAAAUCCCGGGCAAAAGGAAGAAGUGGCGUGCUCAAUUUAUUCUUCCCCCAAGUGACUGGUUGAACUCGCUGGAGUUGGUAGCUUUGGUUCGUUAUGUGGACCUGAUAUGAUGUGCCAGUAUCAGGAGGGAAGUGCCUUUGAGGGAUGGGAUCAUGGGAAUGAAUCUUUUUUGUUUUUUUGCCUGCUCCCCUUCUCUCUUCUUCUCUGCUCGCAUUUGGGAGACCUGACGCCUACCAGGAAGCUAGGGGAGUUCAGUUCACGUUGAUUUCUUUGUUUGAGAAUUAGUGUCUUUUUUUGGAAAAAGACACGUAGGUUACCCCCGGUAAAUAAUUAGGCAUUAGAUUAGAAAACGUUAUUUGUCUCAUGAUUUAGAGUUACAAGUACUGUACUUCUCGGACACAUUUCAUGGUACCAAAUUAUAGGUCGACCUAUAAUUUGGAACAGAGGGAGUAGUACGUUAAUUUUAGGUUAUGCAUUCUUAGAUGUAAAGUAUGUGUACCUGUAUUUUGUUAGUUGGAUUUGACCAAUUGGUGUCGAUUCUUAGAUGGAGAAUUUUCAGGGUGUGUAGGUUAAGUGGGUGUUUGGUUCCACCUUGCUAAACUUAGUUGCUAAAGUUUAGCAACUUUUAGCUGCUAAACUGCCAAACACCCUUGCUAAAACUUGCUAAAGUUGAGUUGCUAAAGUUUAGCACUUUAGCAAGUUUUAGCAACCAAAAACUUGUCUCCCCCCUCUUGCGCACCUAUACCCCUCAUUUAUUGCUUGUCUCCCCCCUCCUGCGCACCUUUAAUAAGGGUAGAUAGGUCUUUUUAUAGCUCAUUAAAUGUCUUUUAGCAAGAGUAUCCAAACAGCUUUUGCUAAAGUUUAGCAACUUUUAGCAACUAAAGAUUAGCAAGAGGAACCAAACAUGCCCUAAGAUGGAAAUCAACAACUGUAGGUUUUAAGGACGUGAUUUAUGAAACAUUAAAUGGCUCUAUUGUAAUUAGGAUUUUCGCACUAUAAUAAAUCCCAACAGCUGGCAUCACAGUUUGGAUGGAUUUUAUAUGGGAGGCUGAGAGGUCCUAAUUUUGUGUCUUGAACUAGAUAUGUUGGGCCUAACGAAAUUUAGGGUCUUUCUAUCGAUCGAGAUGGUGUUGGUUUCAGCAGUUUUUUCAGUUACAGUGUUUGAAUUCCCAAAUCAAGGGUAGAAUGGGGAGAUGAUGAAAUGGUAGGCAUGCUGUUUUUCUCUAAACCUUAGGAAGUUUAUUUGUGCCCCCAUGCUGGGUGGGAUACAGGUAGCUCUGGUUUGUUUUUCAUAUGGCUUUCUGCAUAAGCAGGGAAGCAUGUUUCAUCUGUAAAGGAAGGGGAAUGCCACUGGAUGUGGUGAAAAUUUAGAAGGAAUGUACUGAAUGGUGAACGCCUACCAGAUGUCAGAAAAUAUGGGUCAAAUGAAACCUUAUUUAGGAAAUACAUCUCUUACGAGGCUAUAGAUUGUGAAUGAACUGAUACCUUUUUUUUCUGCAGGCAUGUCAAUAACCGAGAGCUUCACGAUAUACCAUGGGGAUAAUUUGUUUACAAAUGGACCUGCGGGGGUGCAGCGGAAUCUGGCCGGCCGCGUCGUGUACAAGAAGCUGCUAGGGCCGCAGUACAUGUCGUUCCAGCAAGUGCGGCGCUGGAUAUUGGAGAUGUUCAACGUGGACGAGGUGAGCUUGUGCUGCGGCACAUCGUGCCUGUAAAGCCCAAGAACCAGGCGCGCGCUUACAACAUGGCGGUUGAUAUAGUAUGGCUUGAUUCCUGGAGGACAUUUCUUGAAGUGUCAUUGCGCCAAGGUGUCUCUUUGGUACUCUAUGUUCAGUGGCAGGCCAAGGCGGCGUCAGGUCCCGUUUGUGAAGGCGCUAUCGGCGAGAAGAACAGCGCCACACCUGCUCUGGCUCCAGCUCCGGCCCCGGCAACUGCCCCUGCGCCCACUCCUGCUCCUGCUCCUGCCCCUGCGCCUGCUCCCGCUCCCGCUCCCACCGCUAAAGAGCCCACCGUGGCCGGUGAACAAGGCGGAAGCUGGGACAGGGAGGACCCGGGCCGACGUCUCUACCGCUGCCCUCUGUUGGAGGUACCUUAUACUAGUUCCUUUUCCCAUGCCAUUAUUUGAAGAAAUUUAUAGAUUAGAGAAGUAGUCAAAUCUACAAAUGACCUCGAUUCAUUCCGCUUCCCAGGAUCCUGGGGGAUUGUGGAUUCACGCAGUGGCUGGACGAGGCCUUCCCUGAAAAGGCGACCAUGCACAUCAACAACCUCCUGAGUAGGGAGGAGUGCCUCGAGCAGCAGGUCGAGAACCUCCAGGAGGAGCUCAACGAGCUCCGUCGCCGGUACGUGACCGGCAGCAGCCAUCGUGACGGGCAAGACAGCGAGACACGCCCACGCCAAGUCCGCAGAAUGAUCUAGGACAACUGAUGGUGUACCCUGCUUCUCCCAGUUUGCAUGAAGUCCUCAAAUGUUACUAGUCAUGCUGUCCGUUUCUUGUUCGUUCAACCAUUUGUUCAGUCAUGUUGUUGCUAGAGCAUGUCGCUCUGAACAGUCUGAACCGUGUUCCAAUGUUAUGCCAUCUGUAAUGUAAAUUACUUGCAUCAACGCAUUUACCAUUUCAGAACAAUGUUGGACGUACUUCUUAUUUUGUCGCUACUUGUAUCGGUUCAAGUAUCAUGUCGAACAACCGUACUGAACCCCAAAUCUUGCACAAGUGACAAUCUGAAAGCUGCAAACGCGUUUGAAUCCAUAAAGGUCUGCAAACAGGCGAGAGUGAUCACUAUCCAUUACCACUCAAGAAUUUCUCAUGUUAUCCCCAUGUCACGGUAAAAAGAAUUUGAAUAUUACCAAUCAGUACAACAUUGUAAAAACUUGGAACACCUACAGCAUGAACAAGCGGAAAAGCACAAUAAGAAGCUAUCACUGAUUGACUAGCAGUAGAAGACUGCGCACAUGGAAAACGGAAUCCAAAACAAAUUGGAAUAGAAAUUGUUUCGCGUGUAGUAUAUAUGACCAACUCUUGUGCGAGGAGCACUGAAAAACUUACAAAAAAAAAAA
This 28666-nucleotide long non-coding RNA is filed under the name Setaria viridis. RNAcentral's name for it is "long non-coding RNA (SVIR_LNC010064)". The stretch from base 2433 to 2593 matches the Rfam family "U1 spliceosomal RNA". The record is from RNAcentral. Lineage: Eukaryota; Viridiplantae; Streptophyta; Magnoliopsida; Poales; Poaceae.